AUUAUUAGUUUAUUUUUCUUAUUUUUCUCUCUAUUUUCUGUUUCUAUUUUUGUUAUUUUGUUAUUUUAUUUAUUUACUUAUUUUUAUUAUUUUUAUUUUUUCUUUUUCUUUUUCUCUCCAACGUUAUUCUUCCCCCUCCUCAACCCUCUCCUUUUCUUCAACCUUCUUCCUCUGUUCACUAUCUUCCUUUGAAUCUCCUUAAAAAUCUCAACUUCAAGUAUGGCUUCUGCUAUAAAUUGUGAACUUAUAGAGUGGUAAAAGGGACGAAAAAAAAAAGAUUGAAGACACAAAGAGAAGGAAAGAAACAAAUUGAGAGACUGAGUGAGAGUAGAGUGAAAAGUAUAGAAGAUCAGAGAAAAAUAAAAGAAGUGUUCUGACGAGCUCCCCACCCUCCGGUGGCUGGCACGAUACCCACAGACUCACAACUCCGAACUUCCGACGCAACUCCCUCUGAGCAGAUCUGCGAUAAUCGCAAAGUGUGUAGUCUGGUAACAACUUUAGGCGAACGACUGAAAUUCACCUGCAAAUAAGAAUAAAGAAGAGGAUGAGACUGAAGAAGAAGAGGAAAAAGAAAGGAAAAAUGUGGAGAAGAAGGGAAAGUUGUUCUUAAAGAAGUUCAACAAAGCAAUCAACAUUAGCCACCUUCCCAUUUGCCCAUGCCUGAUCUACUGUUCAAUCUCUUUCGAAUCUUCAAAUCUUCAGCGAGCUUUCAACUUUAAGACCAAUCUAUCGACCCUACUUCGAAUUUUCAAGCCGUUCAACGUCAGUGUCAGUGUUAGCGAGCGUUGAAGUCGUUUUUCAAGCCCGAUCUGUUGUUGUUCUUCUUCGAAUCUUCAGCAAUAGCAAUCAGCGUCAAUGAGCCAUUCAUGCCUGAUCUGUCGUCCGUUCAAGUUUGUCCAUUCAAGUUGUUCAUGUCCGUUCAAGCAGGGUUUGAGGAAUACUCACAACUGAUGAUGGAAUGAUGUCGAGAAAGGAGAAAAAUUUAAAUGUAAGGUCAUCAGUGAAGAAAGAAAGACGAGCAAUUUAUGAUUGUGGCAAUUGUAUUUGUAAUUAUAUAAGACAUUUGACUUCAAUUGACUUCCAACUUUUAUUCGGACUUUAUUUAAUAUAAGUCGUAAACUUAAUUAGUGGAUU
Long non-coding RNA from Benincasa hispida (wax gourd), 1134 nucleotides. RefSeq lists it as uncharacterized. The record is from RefSeq and is a predicted model, not a curated record. Lineage: Eukaryota; Viridiplantae; Streptophyta; Magnoliopsida; Cucurbitales; Cucurbitaceae.